RNAcentral lists this long non-coding RNA (423 nucleotides) under Panax ginseng (ginseng). RNAcentral's name for it is "long non-coding RNA (PGIN_LNC011905)". Lineage: Eukaryota; Viridiplantae; Streptophyta; Magnoliopsida; Apiales; Araliaceae. The record is from RNAcentral.
CGCGAUUCAAACCCUGCGAUUCAAACCCAUUUCAACAGAAAUUUACAGUUUUGAUCUCAUUUCAAACGCAUGUGAUAGUUCUGCUGCUGCGUUUUCUCCAGGCAAUCGACAAUUAGUUAGAUCGAGAGAAUUAAAAAGCAUGAAAGACAAUAAUAAUACUAAUACUACCAACUGGCAGUUUUUUCAGGAGAAGCACAAGUUCCUGAUUCUGGCUUUAGCCGUACUCAUCACCGGCGCGCUGCUCCUUUCUACAUUCAUGUUAACCAUUAACAGCCCAAUCUUCUGUACAUUCUCCGCCUACGGAGCCGGACCUAUCAGCUCCAACUCAGGGAAGACCCAGCUCGAGACAAUCCUACAUUACGCCACGUCACGGGUGGUCCCACAACAAAUCAGACGCCAAGAUCAGAGAUUAAACAAUUGUCU